CAGUCGCCACGGUAAUACAGAGGAUGCAAGCGUUAUCUGGAAUGAUUGGGCGUAAAGCGACUGUAGGUGGCUUUUCAAGUCUGCAGUCAAAUCACAAGGCUCAACCCUGGACAGGCGGCGGAAACUACCAAGAUGGAGUACGGUAGGGGCAGAGGGAAUUUCCGGUGGAGCGGUGAAAUGCGUUGAGAUCGGAAAGAACGGCAACGGCGAAAGCACUCUGCUGGGCCGACACUGACACUGAGAGACGAAAGCUAGGGGAGCAAAUGGGAUUAGAUACCCCGGUAGUCCCUGUCUCUUAUAC
Molecule: ribosomal RNA, 301 nt
Filed under: uncultured bacterium
Lineage: Bacteria
Description: partial 16S ribosomal RNA
Rfam family: Bacterial small subunit ribosomal RNA
Source: RNAcentral